Chrysemys picta bellii (western painted turtle) is the source of this 1117-nucleotide non-coding RNA. NCBI's taxonomy places the organism in Eukaryota, Metazoa, Chordata, Testudines, Emydidae. The record is from RefSeq and is a predicted model, not a curated record.
AAAGCUUGUCUUUUUCACCAACAGAAGUUGGUUCAAUCCAAGAUAUUAUCUCACCACCUUGUCUCCCUAAUAUCCUGGGACCAACAUGUCUACAGCAACACUGCAAAUCUCUUAUCUCUGGCAUCUCUCAUGAGGAACACUGCCCCACCUGCAAGAGAUAAGUCUGUUUGUUGUUGGUUCAUGUGACUGUAUGGCAUUUUAUCUUUUGUGUUCUCUCUCUCUCUCUUCUGGCUGCACUAACAUUUUUUCCCUAAUUCUUGAGUUUCCCCUCCCAGAAUUCAGAUGAGUAUUAUUCAGGUCAGAGCUCAUCAAGGAACAGGUCCCUCUGGUCCCCAAUACUUGUGUCACAUGUGGCAAUGACCCCACAAGCAUUUUACUGGUUGAACAAGAAACAGGAAGGACAGGUGGUUGCAGGUGCUCACUUGCUAAUAAGCCUGAGAUUUAGGGUUGUUCUGGGGGGCAGAUAAUUUAGCCUAGUAUUUCUAAACAUCUGGAUGCUAUUCAUUAUAACAUUCCUUUCUGUUUUUCUCUUGCAGGUAGAUGCUGGGCAUGUGGGAAUUGCUACUAGGGCAUUUGCCUCUGGGACCUUUCAACCAUGGCUCACAUUAAAGUGAGAGAAGAUUUCUUUGGAGUUCAUUGUAUUAAAAGGGCAAAAGUUUCGUAUUAUUGUGGCUUUUUUAGCAGGGAAGACAUAACUAAUGUAAACCCUGGGAAGUGUUAUGAGCAUCAAAGGACUAUUUUAAACAAUGGGCCAGACAAGAAUAAACAUUUGAUUGAGUGGAAUACCAAGGAAAUACUUGAGAGGAAGGGAAUGCCAAUUUCAACUUCUUGACCCAACCUUCUGCCCUAAGAAAGCCAUUUUUUAUGAAUUACCUAUUCCCAGAUCAAAAGGUCCAAGCUGUAUAAAGGAGGGACUAAACCUUUCUAUCAGUGUUCUUUUUCUGAGCAAAAGGUCUUAUAAAUUUGUAACCACAGAAAAUCCUCUGUGAGGGAUCUGAAGGAUUGUUCACCUGCCAGACCCAUUGGUGGAGUUGGGGUAACCUCUGCUAAGCUUAUUAGCAUGUGUGUAGGUUCUUCUAUUGUUUUUACUUUAAAAAUAAAUAUGCUUGCUUAGACA